CACCAGUGGUAUUUCUACAGUAGAAUAUCACAGGGCCAAAGGCCUCAGUCUCACCAGUUACCACCAUCAGUAUGUCCAGCUUGGUGUUGUUUCUCAGAGAGGUUCUCAGGGAGGUCCCUGGAUGGCUGCUGUGUGUUGGGGUCUUCCUGCCCGUCACUCUGCUGCUGAUACAGAUCAUCGUUUACCUGAACUGGAAGCUGACGGAAGUAGAGGCAGAGUUGUCUGCAGCACCUCACCCCAGGGACACGGCCUCCAGGCAGAGCAACAGAACCACAUUACCCAGGCAGAGACGACGGGCUGGGGGGAGAAUGUACACCUGAGAAGGGGAACUGUGGAUGGCCCCAUGCUGGAUAUUGCCCUGCUGGGUACAGUACAGCCCUCUGAGAACUCAUUUGCAGACAGAAUAGUGUCACAGGGAGAGUACAGUGGAUGGAGAUGCUGAAUACAAGUACUGAGGACUAUCCACCGCCAGAUCAUGGAUAAAACACCAGCUAAACCAUGGAGUGAAGCAACAACCAAUAUGGAAUUCCAAAUCACUGUUUACAAACUGUUGGACUGCAGAGACAAUGUGUAUUUUUUAUUACUGAAAUGAUAGUGUUUAUUGUACCGUCUGUAUUAAAUUAUUUCUAAGAAUG
Long non-coding RNA from Coregonus clupeaformis (lake whitefish), 635 nucleotides. RefSeq lists it as uncharacterized. Lineage: Eukaryota; Metazoa; Chordata; Actinopteri; Salmoniformes; Salmonidae. The record is from RefSeq and is a predicted model, not a curated record. The transcript is spliced from 2 exons.